RNAcentral lists this ribosomal RNA (462 nucleotides) under Yersinia rohdei. RNAcentral describes it as "bacterial SSU rRNA". It matches the Rfam family "Bacterial small subunit ribosomal RNA", at positions 44 to 495 of the family's 1533-position model. The record is from RNAcentral. Lineage: Bacteria; Pseudomonadati; Pseudomonadota; Gammaproteobacteria; Enterobacterales; Yersiniaceae.
AGGCCUAACACAUGCAAGUCGAGCGGCAGCGGGAAGUAGUUUACUACUUUGCCGGCGAGCGGCGGACGGGUGAGUAAUGUCUGGGAAACUGCCUGAUGGAGGGGGAUAACUACUGGAAACGGUAGCUAAUACCGCAUGACCUCGCAAGAGCAAAGUGGGGGACCUUCGGGCCUCACGCCAUCGGAUGUGCCCAGAUGGGAUUAGCUAGUAGGUGGGGUAAUGGCUCACCUAGGCGACGAUCCCUAGCUGGUCUGAGAGGAUGACCAGCCACACUGGAACUGAGACACGGUCCAGACUCCUACGGGAGGCAGCAGUGGGGAAUAUUGCACAAUGGGCGCAAGCCUGAUGCAGCCAUGCCGCGUGUGUGAAGAAGGCCUUCGGGUUGUAAAGCACUUUCAGCGAGGAGGAAGGCCAAUAGCUUAAUACGCUGUUGGAUUGACGUUACUCGCAGAAGAAGCACCG